RNAcentral lists this transfer RNA (75 nucleotides) under Molorchus minor. RNAcentral describes it as "tRNA-Val". It matches the Rfam family "tRNA". Rfam says of the family: Transfer RNA (tRNA) molecules are approximately 80 nucleotides in length. Lineage: Eukaryota; Metazoa; Arthropoda; Insecta; Coleoptera; Cerambycidae. The record is from RNAcentral.
GUUUCCGUAGUGUAGUGGUUCAUCACGUGUGCUUCACACGCACAAGGUCCCCGGUUCGAUCCCGGGCGGGAAACA